RNAcentral lists this small RNA (29 nucleotides) under Bombyx mori (domestic silkworm). Its description in RNAcentral is "ovarian small RNA-5997". Lineage: Eukaryota; Metazoa; Arthropoda; Insecta; Lepidoptera; Bombycidae. The record is from RNAcentral.
UACAUUUUUCUCACGGCCGUAGUAAAUAC